This 1183-nucleotide long non-coding RNA is filed under the name Ursus americanus (American black bear). Its description in RNAcentral is "lncRNA (ENSUAMG00000004559.1)". Lineage: Eukaryota; Metazoa; Chordata; Mammalia; Carnivora; Ursidae. The record is from RNAcentral.
GUGCUAUCCAGGACCUCGGCUCUACGGCCAUUGGUCGACGGCUCGCGUCCCGAGCGCGCCCAUUGGCCGUGGGGGGCGUUCACGUGAAAGGGGUUCCGGGAUGGCUUCCCAAGUGGGGAGAGGUGCUGGAAAGUUAAAGGGAGCAGCGCGGCGGCAGGGAGCCUGAGUCCCGGUGACCGGCCACUGGGAGGAGGCGAGCGGGCUGCUCUCGAGCAAGGACGGAUGCGUCUGCCCUCCAAGGGCGCGGACCUGAGUCCCGGCCCCCACUCCUGCCGUCGCCGCCGCUGCCCCUGCCAUCCCCGCGCGGAUGCCGCCGCGGUCUGGCGCAUCUGUACAUCGGGACUUAUGAGCUGUACCAGGUACGUCCGUCCCCAAGCCCUCGAGUCCCAGUGCAGGGCCGAGAAACGGCGGCGAGGGACGCGCAGUAGAGACCUUCUUUGAUUCCUGCCACCUGCACUUUUACCGUCCAACUUGCAGUUACACUCCGGGGGUGGAACACUCUAGACGGGGUCGAGGACGCUAUUGCUUCCAGGUGGAAAGAGCAGUCCAGGGACGAGCGGGGGGGAUGGAGCAUGGCCGGAUCCACGUGUUCCGCCGAAGUGCAGGUCUGGCCGCCAGGGUAGUUGGGGGUGGCUGGGGCUGGGACUACUGUGCCGAGUUCGAACCUGAGACAAGGCGCUUCCAGCCUGGGACCCGACACUUCCGGAGGGUGUUCCCGAAGUUGGGCGGUGGGGAUUGGAGGACAAGGAAAAGUCGCCUUGUCUUUCCCCGGUUUUGGCUUCCCCGUAAUACGCAAGGAAACACACUUGGGAGUCUCUUGGGCCGCCGAGGGCGAUGGGACACAGACCCAGCCCCGGUUCACGGUCUCAGGUCCCCAGGCAGAGGCUGGCUGUCCCGGGCCGGCGGGGGCGAAGCGGCCGCGCGGGGACGCUCGCGCGGCGAGGCUCCGACCGGGGGUUGCCCCGCCGCCCCGCCCUGGUGUGAUAACUUGGGCUCCUCCUCCUCGUCGUCCUCCUCCCCCUGCCGGUCAUAUCUCCGGGAACGGAGCGUCAGCCCUGCCUCCCGGACACACGACGCUCACGUAGUCCGGUGGCGGUCGCCUCCCCUGCCACCUCCCUCCAGGCUCUCCGAUGCAGCAGCGAGCCAGCUGGAGAGGGGGCUUCCCCACGCCCCAAAAGAGUUC